This 73-nucleotide transfer RNA is filed under the name Myotis brandtii (Brandt's bat). It matches the Rfam family "tRNA". From Rfam's summary of the family: Transfer RNA (tRNA) molecules are approximately 80 nucleotides in length. Their secondary structure includes four short double-helical elements and three loops (D, anti-codon, and T loops). Lineage: Eukaryota; Metazoa; Chordata; Mammalia; Chiroptera; Vespertilionidae. The record is from Rfam by way of RNAcentral.
GCCGGUGUGGCUCAGUGGAUAGAGCUUCAUCCUGCAGACUGAAGGGUCCCAGGUUCAAUUCUGGUCAACGGCA